CAUCUGGACACCCACCCCAGAAAGCACGGACCUUCUGGGGUGUGUGUGAAUAGGCACCCGGGAACAUUUGCAUUUUUUAAACACGAAUGUUCCUGGGAUAAAUGCCUGUUUGGAAGCGCCCUUUGUUACAAAUGACAAAAAUAUUUUGAUGCCCCGCCUAGACAGAAUAUGCAAACAGCCAUUUCCCUUGAGAACACAAGACCCAUUGGAAAGGCUAUGGAACAACAUUUUCAUUAUCUAUCUUUUUUCUUUUUUCUCUCUCUCUUAAUACUUCAUCACAUUUACUAAAUACCACUGAGUGCUACAUUUAAAAUCCGGGAAGCCACUGUUCUCAUCAAAUCAGUUUGGCUUCAAGUGUAGGAUACAGCAUUCUUUGCGUAUUUUAAGCAUGGAAGCCAGCAUUCUUUUCAAAUGUUUCAGGAAGUGGCAGGGAAGUGGAUUUUUGGAUAAUCCGGAUGUUUGGCCAGUUCUCUAAUGUGAUGGCACUUGUUGCUCCCAGGUGUAAAAUGAAACAUCUCCCCAAUUUGUGAGAGGGGAAAUUGUGGUACCUUUGUUAUGGAAAGCCUUACCUUUUGUUCACCGAGUUUUUACUUUACGAGAACAAUUUCUUUUUAAAAAAACUAGCUAUGCCCGGCCACGCGUUGCUGUGGCGAAGCCUGGUGUUAUGGGAAAUAAAGUAUUGAGCAAUUGGUGGUAGUUGGUAUAUGUCAUUUCCAAAAGGUUGUGAAUAUGCAGUAUUUGUGGUUAUUCCUUUUUUUUGUCGUUUGUUUCUUGUGUGGAAUUCAUCUGUUUUGAGAGUGUUGUUCUUUACGUCUUGAUGUGGAGGAGUGUGGUGGUGUUGAAAAUAAAGUAAUGAGGAAGUCGUGGUAUAUGUGUUAUGGUUGUAUAUAUGUAGAAAAUGGAUAAGAUUGUGUGUGAUCUUGAGCGCAAAUCAUGUCUAGUGAACUUCCAGUAAGUCCAUUAGUAGUUAAAGUCUGAAGGAAGUACGGUUUGAUGGUGUAAGGGUAUUGAAUGGUAUUAAAAGUGGUCAAGAAAGGUUUAGCUUAGGUAGGAAGGAGCGAGGGUUGGAAGGUGAAAGGAUAUUCAAUUGUAUUUAAGCUGGGUAACAAAGGGUUGCCCUUGGUAGGAAGUAGUCAUAUGUUGUACGUUGAGCAUCUGUUGUACGUUGUAUCCAUAUACAAAUGUGUGUAUAUGUAUAUAGAUUCUGUUUCUCAUAUAGAAAUAAUCUGAAGUUGCCUAUAUAUAUUCCAUAUAUGUAUGUAUCCCACACCUAUAUAUGGUGUAUGGUGAGUAUGGGUUAUCCAUAUAUACCAGUGUGUGUGUGUGUGUGUGUGUGUGUGUGUGUGUAUACAACCUGCUGUAUUAUAUUAUAUUAUUGUUAUUAUUAUUAUUAUUAUUAUUAUUAUUAUUAUUAUUAUUAUUAUUUUCCAAAGGUUUAUUAUUAUGAUUUAAUAUUAUUAUUAUAUUUGAAAGGUUUAUUUUCAUUAUUACUAUGUAAUAUUAUUAUAUUUAAAAGGUUUAUUAUUAUUAUGUAAUAUUAUUAUUAUAUUCCAAAGGUUUAUUAUUAUUAUUAUUAUUAUUAUUCCUCCCAAGAAAGGAUUCCCCUAAGUAGGAAGCAGGCAGGGUUUGAAGUUGUAAGGUCAUUCAAUGGUAAUUAAUCUGAUGAGAUUUGGUUUGAAGAUCCAAUGAUGGUUAAGUGUUAUUAUUAUUAUUAUUAUUAUUAUUAUUAUUAUUAUUAUUAUUAUUAUUAUAGUAUGGAGUAUUAAAAAGCCUUAUUAUUAUGAUAGCAUUAUAAUAUUAUGGGGUAUUUAAAAGCCACCCCUUAUACACAAUAGAGAGAACAGAAUGGCAGAGAAAAGAAACUUUGCACAUCCUCAGAGGUUCGCUUUUUGGAAACUGUUGGGAGAAAAACAGGAGGAAAGUAUAUUGCCUAUUUAUUGACUGAUUAAUGUAUUGUUUUAUGAUUGUUAUUUAAUAUCGAUUGGAGUGAAGUCACUUGAGCCACGAGGUGCUGGUUUUGUAUAAUCCAAGGUUGUCUGUUGUAUAACCAAAGGAGGAAGAAUGGAAGUUUUCCAGUAGCUAAGGAAACGUUGCAAACUCUCCCUGCCAUUGGGGAAGAGGCAUGGCAGAGAGAGCAUGAUGGGAACUGUAGUUUCCCCAGAAUAGAGGCUGGCUCUUAAAGGAGUCUUUGUGAUUCACAGCAGUUGAGAACAUUUGAAAGUUUUGGAAAGGAGUACUAAAAGGAAGACAGUAAGGCAGAAGGAAGGGAGAGAGGGAGGGGGUGUGCGGGGAAAAGGGAGAAGAAAAUGAUUUUGAGGCGGAAGGUGCUGCUGGUGGUGGUUCUUCCCUUCUUCCCUCAGGAAUCUCGCCUCGAAUCGGGAGGCAGGCGGAGGAAGGAGAGAGGGGGAGAGAAAGGAAGCCAUAGUGUCUGGAAGAGGAAAAGGAGACCCAUCUUUGACACUUGCCUGUGAGACUGUAAGAUGAAAGAUCAAUAUUCAAGGGCCAUGUUGAUGAUCUCAGCCUCCUUAACAAAACAGUGUUGACAGUUGACAAGCGUGCCUGUUUAUUAUCUGAGGAGAUGAAUCUAAGCACCAACACCACUUCUGCAAAGACGACACCAUUGUCUGGCCUGCAAAAGAAGAAAGCUGCAGAGGAUGAAGCUUUGAUGGGAAUAUUCUCCUCGUCAGCACCAAAACACCUAUCCAAGCAAGGGACCCAGUUUUAAGUAUCAUGAUGCAAAUGUUUCCAUAUAACAUCUUGGCUGAAUAUGAGAGAGGGCUAUAAAGGCAUUAUCCAUCCUAAUCAACCUGCAUUCCUUUGCAGUCAUUCUGAUUCAGGUCUGUUCAGAAAUGGUAUCAGCAAGGACAGCUACUUCUGAUGAUGCUUCUACACUAUUUGACACCAUUUUAACUGCUAUGACUCAAUGCUAUAGAAUAGUGUUGUGCACAGUAUUUGCUGAAUCUGUUUCAUUUGUGUAUUCGUUUUAUACUGUCCAUUUGGAUGCACAAAAGUUAAAAGUUUAAGUUGUAGAGUUGGGUUUGGAUGGGGAGUUUGUGUGGGGCUUUUCUUCUUUAUUCUUUGUGUAAAACCCCCUUCUUCCUCCACAUAUUUUUUUUUUAAAGAAAUAAAUUUCAAAGGAAAAAAUUGUUGGGCUUUCCUUCUCUAUUCAGAAAUUAAACCUGUCUCUCUCUCUUUAACUGGCCCUUGGAAAAAGUACUCUUUUACUUCUCCCUAUCUCUCUGUAUCGCCUGUGGCUUGGUCCUCCCUCUCCUUUGGGCUGCAUAGGAUAGUCUUAUUAUUUGUUAUAGAUAACAUAUAUUUUUGAAAGCAAAGACAUAUUUGGGCUCCUGUCUCUAUUCCAACCUCCAGUCUCUCUCUAAAAUUUCCCCUUAGAAGAACUAUAAGUAUUUUCUCCCAAUUGUCUGAACAUUUUUGUUUUUUUCAGACACCAGACGAAAAUCCCAUUAGGAUAGGCGCCUUGUUUUCGGAAGUGGAGGCAAAAAUGAAAAUCAGCCAAAACAAAUGAAACUAAACAAAAUGAACAGCAAUUUCAUACAAAUGCACACCACUACUAUAGAAUCAUGGGACAGGUUGUUUUACAAAAUAUUUACUUUCUCUGUUAAAGAGUGCUGAUGCCUCAGCAAAUUACAAAUUUCAAGAUUCUAUAGCAUUGAGGUAUGGCAAUUAAAAUGAUGUCAAACAACAUCCAUUGUUCUACAGUGUAGGUGAACCCUCCUUUUCUGUUGUAACACGAAUCAAAGGGUUGUUGUAUGUUUUCCGGGCUGUAUGGCCAUGUUCUAGAAGUAUUGUCUCCUGACGUUUCACCCACAUCAGGAGAGAAUACUUCUAGAGCAUGGCCAUACAGCCCGGGAAACAUACAACAACUCUGUGAUCCUGGCCAUGAAAGCCUUCGACAACACAACAAAUCAAAGGAUUCCUGCAGCAUAAAGUUGGGAAUGAUGACUUAAUUCAAAGACAGUUUCCCAUCCAAGUAGAUUUCAGAACUAAGCCUGGCACCCCAGCCUAUGGAAUUAACCCACACAGCCUGACAUUUACCCAAGUGCUGUUCUUGUCUUCAGAAAAUGAAGAUCUGAACUCAUUCAUGAAUCUCCCAAGUUAGUUCCCACCAGAACGAGAGUCAUGAUCUUUUAAAUAUUUUAGCAUUCUAAAGGAUAUGGCAUGAUACAUGAAUUUUAAAAUCAUCACACCCACUUUUAAAAUCCAUCUUCCAGAUUUAUUAACAGUGGGAGAUAUUCAUAUUUAAAUAAUGUUGGCAAAAGUCCAAGAUGGGAAUGCCAGAACAAUCAGGAAUGUAAUCAUACAGCAGAGCAAUCUAGUUAAUUAGCCUGUUUCAAACACCCAGUUCUAAAAAGAGAGAGCAAGUCUCAAUUGCAUUUUGCAGCGUAAGCCCCAUUAUGAAAGUACAUAAAAGCUUGGCAUUCCAGAUUUCAGGGUCUGGAUUCUCUUCUCCAGUUCUUAGCACAAGGGAGGUGAAUCUCAGGACGCAUACAGAUUUUCUUCAUGUGUUAGACUUUGUGCGUUGUUGUUUGUGCCAAUAUGGUUAUUGCUUCGUGUACAGUAGAGUCUCACUUAUCCAGAAUUCGCUUAUCCAACGUUCUGGAUUAUCCAAUGCAGUCUGUCUCCCACCUGGAUCCACAGCUGUUUUUCUAGGCAGCAAGGACUGAACUCAUGCAUUUAAUUUCCAACAAUGUUGUAACUAUAAUUUCAUUUUAUGCAAUUCUAUCUUUAUUUGUAGUCAAUUGGUUAGUAGCCAAUGUUUUUGUAGUCAAUGUUUUCAAUACAUUGCAGCGUUUUGGUGCUAAAUUCUUAAAUACAGUAAUUACUACAUAACGUUACCGUGUAUUGAACUGCUUUUUCUGUCGAUUUGUUGUAAAACUUGAUGUUUUGAUGUUUAAUUUGUAAAAUUAUAAAGUAAUUUGACGUUUAAUAGGCUUUUCCUUAAUCCCUCCUUAUUAUCCAACAUUUUCACUUAUCCAACGUUCUGCCAGCCCGUUUAUGUUGGAUAAGUGAGACUCUACUGUACCAUAUUUCAUGACAUCACUAUGGCUCUACCCCUGUGAUACCAAAAUGGGUUUCCCUAGGUCUCAUGUUUUGCCACUGAAAUAUCUAGCCCUGAGAUAAUUAUGACUUAGCAAUGUUAACAGUAAGCCACUUGCACUGUAUACUGCUCAGGAAUCACAUCUUACACUUUGGAGAAAGAGUAGGGUAUCAACUGAACAUACCAUUAUCUUAUCAUAUAUAUUAUAAACAGGGAUACCAUAUAUCCCCCUUUUCCUAGGUAGAUUUUCUUUGUAAGAGCUACAUUUUAAUCUUACUCCAAAGUAAAUAUACAAUAAUUAUAGUGAUCAGUGGUUUGAAGCAGUCAAUGGGCAAAUGUGUCUUUUCUGUUUUUCAAAAUAUGGUAACCCUAAUUACUGGCUAAAUCCAAUGGCAAGUCCCAGCUUCACAGACAAAAUGAAUCCAUAGGAUGUCUUAAGUAGAAAUGUAUCUAAGUUUUAUUAGGUCUACUCCAAUGAGGAGUGCAUAUUAGUUUAUAUAUGAAGCCAUAGUGAAAUCAGGUGUUAUAUAAUAGCUAUAUAGUCAAAACGGGGAAUCCAGAGGCUAUAGCAAGCUACUUCUGAUGAAACACCCUACAAGGUACACUGCACAUCUACAUUUAAAGUCAUCUUGGUCAUCUUUCCUGGUUUCUUUUGUGGCAAUAGCCCCAUUUAGCUGGAUUUUUUAUUUUACUUACCUUAGACUUAUGACAUGUGAUCUGAUGAAUCUUUUCUUUAAAUGAGUAGCUUGAAAUGCCUGAUUAAUCUAUUAAAAGAAAUGAAAAGUA
Anolis carolinensis (green anole) is the source of this 5845-nucleotide long non-coding RNA. RefSeq lists it as uncharacterized. The transcript has 3 exons. The record is from RefSeq and is a predicted model, not a curated record. NCBI's taxonomy places the organism in Eukaryota, Metazoa, Chordata, Lepidosauria, Squamata, Anolidae.